RNAcentral lists this long non-coding RNA (203 nucleotides) under Elaeis guineensis (African oil palm). Its description in RNAcentral is "long non-coding RNA (EGUI_LNC000652)". Lineage: Eukaryota; Viridiplantae; Streptophyta; Magnoliopsida; Arecales; Arecaceae. The record is from RNAcentral.
GCCAUAGGUAUAGCAUAGUGUAGUCUUUUUUUUUCAUCUGAUUUCAAAUUUAUAGCUAAGUUGUUAUUAUCUUCUGCUUGUAGCUAUGUGACCUUCGACAGAUGAGAUUCGAUGGUUUGCUGCUACCAAGAAGAGGCCCACUGCUGGUGCAGGGCCAUCUCGAGCUCCGAAGAAGAGUUGGCCCACCACACCGUCGAUAGUAG